Molecule: ribosomal RNA, 497 nt
Filed under: uncultured bacterium
Lineage: Bacteria
Description: partial 16S ribosomal RNA
Rfam family: Bacterial small subunit ribosomal RNA
Source: RNAcentral
GAUGAACGCUGGCGGCGUGCCUAAUACAUGCAAGUCGAGCGAACAGACGAGGAGCUUGCUCCUCUGACGUUAGCGGCGGACGGGUGAGUAACACGUGGAUAACCUACCUAUAAGACUGGGAUAACUUCGGGAAACCGGAGCUAAUACCGGAUAAUAUAUUGAACCGCAUGGUUCAAUAGUGAAAGACGGUUUUGCUGUCACUUAUAGAUGGAUCCGCGCCGCAUUAGCUAGUUGGUAAGGUAACAGCUUACCAAGGCAACGAUGCGUAGCCGACCUGAGAGGGUGAUCGGCCACACUGGAACUGAGACACGGUCCAGACUCCUACGGGAGGCAGCAGUAGAGAAUCUUCCGCAAUGGGCGAAAGCCUGACGGAGCAACGCCGCGUGAGUGAUGAAGGUCUUCGGAUCGUAAAACUCUGUUAUUAGGGAAGAACAAAUGUGUAAGUAACUAUGCACGUCUUGACGGUACCUAAUCAGAAAGCCACGGCUAACUACGUG